AGCUCAAAUUUGAAAUCUGGCUCUUUCAGGGUCCGAGUUGUAAUUUAGAGAAGCGUUAUCCGCGCUAGACCGUACACAAGUCUCCUGGAAUGGAGCGUCAUAGAGGGUGAGAAUCCCGUCUUUGGUACGGACUGCUAGGGCAUUGUGAUACGCUCUC
This 157-nucleotide ribosomal RNA is filed under the name Tricholomataceae sp. Its description in RNAcentral is "partial large subunit ribosomal RNA". It matches the Rfam family "Eukaryotic large subunit ribosomal RNA", at positions 106 to 258 of the family's 3401-position model. Lineage: Eukaryota; Fungi; Basidiomycota; Agaricomycetes; Agaricales; Tricholomataceae. The record is from RNAcentral.